GACGAACGCUGGCGGCGUGCUUAACACAUGCAAGUCGAACGGAAAGGCCUGCUUUCCCUUGUGGAUUGCGGGUACUCGAGUGGCGAACGGGUGAGUAACACGUGAGUGAUCUGCCCCCAACUUGGGUAUAAGCCUGGGAAACUGGGUCUAAUUCCCGAUAGGACUGCAGGGUUGUGCCUGUGGUGGAAAACGAUCUUCUAGUGGUUGGGGAUGAGCUCGCGGCCUAUCAGCUUGUUGGUGGGGUAAUGGCCGGCCAAGGCGGCGACGGGUAGCCGGCCUGGGAGGGUGGACGGCCACAUUGGGACUGAGAUACGGCCCAGACUCCUACGGGAGGCAGCAGUGGGGAAUAAUGCACAAAGGGCGGAAGCCAGAUGCAGCGACGCCGCGUGGGGGAUGACGGCCUUCGGGUUGUAAACUCCUUUCGACCGCGAGGAAGCCACCUGGUUGGAAGGGUGGUGACGGUAGUGGUAGAAGAAGCACCGGCUAACUACGUG
This 494-nucleotide ribosomal RNA is filed under the name uncultured bacterium. Its description in RNAcentral is "partial 16S ribosomal RNA". It matches the Rfam family "Bacterial small subunit ribosomal RNA", at positions 28 to 507 of the family's 1533-position model. The record is from RNAcentral.